GACGAACGCUGGCGGCGUGCUUAACACAUGCAAGUCGAGCGGUAAGGCCCUUUCGGGGGUACACGAGCGCGAACGGGUGAGUAACACGUGGGUGACCUGCCCUCAGCUCUGGGAUAAGCCUGGGAAACCGGGUCUAAUACCGGAUAUGACUCCAUGACGCAUGUUGUGGGGUGGAAAGCCUUGUGCGGCUGAGGAUGGGCCCGCGGCCGUACUCAGCUUGUUGGUGGGGUGAUGGCCUACCAAGGCGACGACGGGUAGCCGG
RNAcentral lists this ribosomal RNA (262 nucleotides) under uncultured bacterium. RNAcentral's name for it is "partial 16S ribosomal RNA". It matches the Rfam family "Bacterial small subunit ribosomal RNA", at positions 28 to 290 of the family's 1533-position model. The record is from RNAcentral.